AGGGAUUGCCUCAGUAACGGCGAGUGAAGCGGCAACAGCUCAAAUUUGAAAUCUGGCUCCUUCGGGGCCCGAGUUGUAAUUUGCAGAGGAUGCGUCGGGUACGGGUGCCUUCCGAGUUCCCUGGAACGGGACGCCAUAGAGGGUGAGAGCCCCGUCUGGUAGGACACCCAGCCCGUGUGACGCUCCCUCGACGAGUCGAGUAGUUUGGGAAUGCUGCUCUAACGGGAGGUAUACUCCUUCCAAGGCUAAAUACCGGCUGGAGACCGAUAGCGCACAAGUAGAGUGAUCGAAAGAUGAAAAGCACUUUGAAAAGAGAGUCAAACAGCACGUGAAAUUGUUAAAAGGGAAGCGCUCGCUACCAGACUUGGGUUCGGCGGUUCAACCGGGGCCACGCCCCGGGGCAUUCCGCCGGCCCAGGCCAGCAUCAGCUUUCCGUCGGGGGUAAAGGCGUCGGGAAUGUGGCUCCCCUUCGGGGGAGUGUUAUAGCCCGUCGUGUCAUACCCUUCGGGGGGCUGAGGUACGCGCUUCUGCAAGGAUGCUGGCGUAAUGGUAGCUAGUGACCCGUCUUGAACGACAAA
Molecule: ribosomal RNA, 578 nt
Filed under: Plectosphaerella cucumerina
Lineage: Eukaryota; Fungi; Ascomycota; Sordariomycetes; Glomerellales; Plectosphaerellaceae
Description: eukaryotic LSU rRNA
Rfam family: Eukaryotic large subunit ribosomal RNA
Source: RNAcentral